AAAAGAACCCCGGCGAGGGGAGUGAAAAAGAACCUGAAACCGUGUACGUACAAGCAGUGGGAGCACCCUUUGGGGUGUGACUGCGUACCUUUUGUAUAAUGGGUCAGCGACUUAUAUUCUGUAGCAAGGUUAACCGAAUAGGGGAGCCGGAGGGAAACCGAGUCUUAACCGGGCGUUAAGUUGCAGGGUAUAGACCCGAAACCCGGUGAUCUAGCCAUGGGCAGGUUGAAGGUUGGGUAACACUAACUGGAGGACCGAACCGACUAAUGUUGAAAAAUUAGCGGAUGACCUGUGGCUGGGGGUGAAAGGCCAAUCAAACCGGGAGAUAGCUGGUUCUCCCCGAAAGCUAUUUAGGUAGCGCCUCGUGAAUUCAUCUCCGGGGGUAGAGCACUGUUUCGGCUAGGGGGCCAUCCCGGCUUACCAACCCGAUGCAAACUGCGAAUACCGGAGAAUGUUAUCACGGGAGACACACGGCGGGUGCUAACGUCCGUCGUGAAGAGGGAAACAACCCAGACCGCCAGCUAAGGUCCCAAAGUCAUGGUUAAGUGGGAAACGAUGUGGGAAGGCCCAGACAGCCAGGAUGUUGGCUUAGAAGCAGCCAUCAUUUAAAGAAAGCGUAAUAGCUCACUGGUCGAGUCGGCCUGCGCGGAAGAUGUAACGGGGCUAAACCAUGCACCGAAGCUGCGGCAGCGACGCUGAUGCGUUGUUGGGUAGGGGAGCGUUCUGUAAGCCUGCGAAGGUGGCCUGUGAGGGUUGCUGGAGGUAUCAGAAGUGCGAAUGCUGACAUAAGUAACGAUAAAGCGGGUGAAAAGCCCGCUCGCCGGAAGACCAAGGGUUCCUGUCCAACGUUAAUCGGGGCAGGGUGAGUCGACCCCUAAGGCGAGGCCGAAAGGCGUAGUCGAUGGGAAACGGGUUAAUAUUCCCGUACUUGGUGUUACUGCGAAGGGGGGACGGAGAAGGCUAUGUUGGCCGGGCGACGGUUGUCCCGGUUUAAGCGUGUAGGUGUGUGUUCCAGGUAAAUCCGGUU
This 1027-nucleotide ribosomal RNA is filed under the name Salmonella enterica. RNAcentral's name for it is "partial 23S ribosomal RNA". It matches the Rfam family "Bacterial large subunit ribosomal RNA", at positions 517 to 1547 of the family's 2925-position model. Lineage: Bacteria; Pseudomonadati; Pseudomonadota; Gammaproteobacteria; Enterobacterales; Enterobacteriaceae. The record is from RNAcentral.